RNAcentral lists this ribosomal RNA (253 nucleotides) under uncultured bacterium. RNAcentral describes it as "partial 16S ribosomal RNA". It matches the Rfam family "Bacterial small subunit ribosomal RNA", at positions 524 to 776 of the family's 1533-position model. The record is from RNAcentral.
UACGUAGGGUGCAAGCGUUGUCCGGAAUUAUUGGGCGUAAAGAGCUCGUAGGCGGCUUGUCACGUCGACUGUGAAAAUCCGGGGCUCAACCCCGGACUUGCGGUGGGUACGGGCAGACUAGAGUGUGGUAGGGGAGACUGGAAUUCUUGGUGUAGCGGUGAAAUGCGCAGAUAUCAGGAGGAACACCGAUGGCGAAGGCAGGUCUCUGGGCCACUACUGACGCUGAGAAGCGAAAGCGUGGGGAGCGAACAGG